Molecule: non-coding RNA, 94 nt
Filed under: Streptomyces ambofaciens
Lineage: Bacteria; Bacillati; Actinomycetota; Actinomycetes; Kitasatosporales; Streptomycetaceae
Source: RNAcentral
GGGGAAGCCGGUGCAAUUCCGGCGCUGACCCGCAACCGUGAGCCGUACGCCGCACCCCCGUGAGGGCUUUCGCGGCCGGUGAGCCGGACUGCCC